UACGAAGGGUGCAAGCGUUAAUCGGAAUUACUGGGCGUAAAGCGCGCGUAGGUGGUUCAGCAAGUUGGAUGUGAAAGCCCUGGGGCUCAACCUGGGAACUGCAUCCAAAACUACUGAGCUAGAGUACGGUAGAGGGUAGUGGAAUUUCCUGUGUAGCGGUGAAAUGCGUAGAUAUAGGAAGGAACACCAGUGGCGAAGGCGGCUCACUGGACCGGAACUGACGCUGAGGCGCGAAAGCGUGGGGAGCAAACGGGAUUAGAAACCCCAGUAGU
RNAcentral lists this ribosomal RNA (272 nucleotides) under uncultured bacterium. RNAcentral describes it as "partial 16S ribosomal RNA". It matches the Rfam family "Bacterial small subunit ribosomal RNA", at positions 524 to 794 of the family's 1533-position model. The record is from RNAcentral.